GUACCGGAAGCAGGAAGUAAAUCUGGAUGACGACUUCCUCAUUCAGGAGAGUGAGGAGAAGGGGGCGUGUGAGAGUGGGUGUGGCUUGAUUUCUUGUUUUGUUUUGAUUGUUAGGGACCCAAGCACCUAAUGUUUGGAGCUGUAAUGUGUUAACUAAUGAAUGCUACGUCCCAGUUCUAUACACUAAAAACCAUCACGAAACUCCUCCUCCCUGACGCAAGGCGUUGUGGGCAAUAUUAGCUGAAACAAUGUCCACGGUUCCAAAUCUACCGGAAAUAGUCGACCAUCCGGGUUACCUUUUUAAACAUACUCCGAUUUGGGACGCACUCCUUCUAAUCUCAGAUACUAUUAAGAUGGAUAAUAGGUGAAUUGGGAUGCAGCGUAAGAUAUUUUUCUUCUUCUGUUCUCCUUCUUCUUUAUCUUUGUUAAAACUGAUCAGGCACAACAAACCGUAGGUGGUACAGACAUGAAUGAUGGUGCUAUCGUUAGGUGUUUUACAUUUUGGCCCACAUCUCAUGAAUCAUCCAUCCUACAGUGAAAUUGGUUUUCCAGUCAUUCCUUGGGUUCUCCUACACACAAACAAAAGCCAUAAGAAUCACUUAGCUCCAUCCACUUCAACUUUGAGCUUGUUUUGAACUUGAUUUUGUUGUUGUUGUUGUUGUUGUUGUUGUUGUUUUGCAAACUAGUCCUAGAAUCUUUGUCCUAUUUUUACAAAAUUGCUGUCAGUCUACUACAAGUGAGUGAGAACCUCAAUAAGGAUCAAAAAUAGGUUGGAGUUUUUGUAAACAAUAUCCUCUCCACAUGCCAAUCAAUGCUAAUUUCCUGAUAAACGUAAAUGUUAAAUAUAUUUCUAAGUGUUUUAUAUAUUUAUAAUGGUAGCCAGGCAGAGCCUAUAAUUUACUCAUCCAGCUGUAACUCAUGAAUGGUGGUGUGGAUGUGCAGAAUUCUUGAAAGGCAUAUACAGGACAGAGUUUGGGGGCGUGGUCAUGGAUUGGAAGUGCACAUAUGAAACAAAAUGCACUACAUUACAUUUUCCUAUUCGUACUGACUACUGAAACUAGAUUAUUUAUUGAUUUAUUUUAUUAAAUAAAUUUAUUAUUAUUUAUUAUUAUUAUUGCCGCGCUCACUAACAGGUCCAUAUUCUCCUCAAACACCCGUGAGUAUAUAGUGGUACAGGAGGUGCUACAGGUGAUAUUUAUUCAGAUCUGAGAACAAACAGGUACUGGAAAUUUUUACACAAGCCUCAGAGCAAAUGGUGACAGGUGGGCUUAAAAAAACCAAACAGGUAGUACAGGUGGUGUUUGGAAACACCUGAGUGUGAACACUGUUGAUUAUUUAUUUGUAUUUUUUUAAAGACAGGUGGUACAGUUGAUACUUUACACUUGCAAACACACACAUGUACAGGUGAUCUUUAUAUGCACAUAAGAAUGCCAGAGAACGCUGACGGAUGCUGGAGAACGCCGAAGAACACACAGGCACUGGUGAUCUUUGACCCCUGUGUCUACAGCAAAACGUUCUGCCGAGUGACCAGGUCCUCGUGUGUGCCAUCUUAGUAUUCAUGUCCGUGGACCUGACCGUCUUCCACUCAGCUUUUACUCAGUUUAAGCGUAUUACACAAGAAUAAUAAUCAAAUCUUGAGGUGGAUGGGCCACAAGAGCAGAAGACCAGCAGAAGAUCUUGUUCCAUUCCUGUCAGCCAAGAACAGGAAUCUGAGGCUACAGUGAACACAGGAUCAAAGAUACUGGACAGCUGCAGACUGGCGAAAGACCAGUAAGAGUUCACCAAACAAAGAUCACUAAAUAAGUGAGCAUCGCAGUGAACACACUCCCACUGAAGAUCGUAACUUUCUGAUGUUUUCAGGUUUUGCUUUCAUUUUCCCUGCAUGGUGAUUAAAUGGCACUUUUCUUACAUAAACAUUGAUCAAAGAGGCUGCAAAAUGAUAUAAUGCAAAAAAAAUAAAAUAAAAAUAAAUAAAAAAAAUAGGGACAUAUGUAUAAAUAUUGUAGUAGGAGUAGUAAUUAUUAUUAUUAUUAUUAUUAUUAUUAUUAUUAUUAUUAUUAUCUAACAAUAAAUGUAACAAAAUCCAUGUAUGUUAUAUGUGGUUUGUUAUAUUUAUGUAAUUCUUUACUGUAAUAGCCCUUUUAAUUGAAUAACCCCCAUGAGAAAGCAUAAUAGAGACAAUAAAGUAAGAAUACACCAAGAGAGGGAAUAAUGAGUGAGAAUAAGAGUAAAUAAAAACAAAAUAAUCCAACAUAGUUUAUUUUUAAUCUUCACUCAUGGUGGCCAUUAUAUUACAUUAUAUUUAAUAUUACUUAUUCAGAGUUUUUCCAUUAUUGACUAUUUAUGAAUUAUUUGUAGCUGGUUGGCUUCCACCAGGCAGCAGGUGGCGCUGUCUCACCAUGCAGCUGUAAAGCUUUAUUGACUCACCGUUUGGUUUGAACUCUCACACAGCCAUCCUUUCAAGGCUUUCCAGAAGCACAGGAGCUGAAGAACCCAUGAAUAAAGAUAAAUUAAUAAACAAAAAACAGAACUAGUCACACAAGCUGUCCAGAGGCAAAUAUGUUCCCUGUUUACCCACACUGCUUAAUAAAUGAUGUGUUUUGUGUGUCAAACUGAAAUAAACAGGCCUCAGUGCAGAACAGUACUGCGUGUGUUUUAAGAUGAGGAGGUUUGUAGGAGGGGACAGAAUCCACACAGGCAUGGUUAAUGCAAAUCUGAACUAACAAACAAACCUUAUACAAGAAAUCAACUUAGACAAGAAAGAAAGCGGUGCUGAGUGCUGAGGCAGAAACAAUGACCUUAAAUAAAUAAAACUAGAGCCAUGAAUUAAGCAUCACAGACCAGGAAGUAAUGACCAAAUAAGGACAGUGUUAUAUGACAUUCAUACUGCAGCGCUGUUGAAUUCUGGAUUCUGAUUGGUCAGAAGGUGCUGAUUAAUUUUUUAGAACUGCAGCUCUGACUAAUUCUGACCGCAAGGCAAAUGUGCAGCUGCAUCU
Molecule: long non-coding RNA, 2996 nt
Organism: Ictalurus furcatus (blue catfish)
Lineage: Eukaryota; Metazoa; Chordata; Actinopteri; Siluriformes; Ictaluridae
Exons: 6
Source: RefSeq, a predicted model, not a curated record